GGUUGCGACCAUGUCAUGUUCACAGCACGCCAUCGCGUCCGAUCUGGCAAGUUUGGUAACCUCGGGCGUGGUUAGUAUUUGGAUCGGAGACGCCUCGGGAUUUCCAGGUGUCCGAAGAU
This 119-nucleotide ribosomal RNA is filed under the name Ancylostoma duodenale. The record is from RNAcentral. Lineage: Eukaryota; Metazoa; Nematoda; Chromadorea; Rhabditida; Ancylostomatidae.